GGUAGCCGGCCUGAGAGGGUGUCCGGCCACACUGGGACUGAGAUACGGCCCAGACUCCUACGGGAGGCAGCAGUGGGGAAUAUUGCACAAUGGGCGCAAGCCUGAUGCAGCGACGCCGCGUGGGGGAUGACGGCCUUCGGGUUGUAAACCUCUUUCAGCACRGACGAAGCGCAAGUGACGGUANSUGCAGAAGAAGCACCGGCCAACUACGUGCCAGCAGCCGCGGUAAUACGUAGGGUGCGAGCGUUGUCCGGAAUUACUGGGCGUAAAGAGCUUGUAGGUGGUUUGUCGCGUUGUUCGUGAAAUCUCACGGCUUAACUGUGAGCGUGCGGGCGAUACGGGCAGACUNGAGUACUGCAGGGGAGACUGGAAUUCCU
This 377-nucleotide ribosomal RNA is filed under the name uncultured bacterium. RNAcentral's name for it is "bacterial SSU rRNA". It matches the Rfam family "Bacterial small subunit ribosomal RNA", at positions 282 to 671 of the family's 1533-position model. The record is from RNAcentral.